Molecule: ribosomal RNA, 253 nt
Filed under: uncultured bacterium
Lineage: Bacteria
Description: partial 16S ribosomal RNA
Rfam family: Bacterial small subunit ribosomal RNA
Source: RNAcentral
UACGUAGGGGGCUAGCGUUGUCCGGAAUCAUUGGGCGUAAAGAGCGCGUAGGCGGCCAGAUAAGUCCGGUGUGAAAGUCAAAGGCUCAACCUUUGAAUGCCGCUGGAAACUGUCUGGCUAGAGUCCGGGAGGGGCGAGUGGAAUUCCUGGUGUAGCGGUGAAAUGCGCAGAUAUCAGGAGGAACACCGGUGGCGAAGGCGGGUCUCUGGGCCGAUACUGACGCUGAGGAGCGAAAGCGUGGGGAGCGAACAGG